RNAcentral lists this ribosomal RNA (714 nucleotides) under uncultured Eubacteriales bacterium. Its description in RNAcentral is "bacterial SSU rRNA". It matches the Rfam family "Bacterial small subunit ribosomal RNA", at positions 72 to 776 of the family's 1533-position model. Lineage: Bacteria; Bacillati; Bacillota; Clostridia; Eubacteriales. The record is from RNAcentral.
CGGAAAUUUUCUUUCCCCGGGUGUGGCCGGCGCGCGGGGUGAGUAACGUAUCCCACCUACCUUUGACUGAGGGAUAACCCGUCGAAAGUCGGCCUAAUCCCCACAGGGUAUUGUCUGCGGGGCAUCCAACGACGAUAUAAAGUUUUCAUCGUUCAGAAAUGGGGAUGCCUCUGAUUAAUUUUUUUUGGCGGGGAUAACGCCCCCCAACGAUACGAACAGUAGGUGCUCUGAAAGGAAUGUCCCCCACAGGAGAACAGAGACACGGUACAAACCUCUACGAGACACAGCAGUGAAGUAUAUUUGUCAAUGCGAGAGCGUCUGCCACACACGAGUAGCGUACAAAAAGACGCCCCUAUGGGUUGUACACUGCUUUUAUGCGGGGAUAGUGAGAGGGACGUGUCCCUCAUCGCAGGCCGCAUAUAUAUAAGGACCCGCUUAUUCCGCCACAGCAGCCGCGAUUAUACGGGAGGUCCUCGUGUUAUCCGGAUUUUUUGGGUAUAAAGAGAGCGUAGGCCGUGGAUUAAGCGUGUUGUGAAAUGCAGGUGCUCAACGUCCGCUCUACAGCGCGAACUGGUCCACUUGAGUGUGCGCAGCGCACGCGGAAUUCGUCGUGUAGCGGAGAAAUGCAGAGAUAUGACGAAGAUCUCCGAUUGCGAAGGCAGCUUGCGAGAGCACAACUGACUCUGAAGCUCGAAAGCGCGGGUAUCGAACAGG